Molecule: long non-coding RNA, 716 nt
Filed under: Nicotiana benthamiana
Lineage: Eukaryota; Viridiplantae; Streptophyta; Magnoliopsida; Solanales; Solanaceae
Description: long non-coding RNA (NBEN_LNC021477)
Source: RNAcentral
AAAUGAAAAAAAAAACCUAAGGCUGCCCUAGUAACUUGCCUAUAAAGGCAUAGUUACUUGAGGCUUAAUUAAGAUUUUAAUGAGAUAAAAAAUCAGAAAAAACCAAGGCGGCUAAACAUUUUCUAGAAAAUACUAUUGCAUUGCUUCUACUUUGGUAUUUUCUUGAAGUUUCUCUAAUCCCGAAGCAAUUUCUGGUUCAUUUGAGGUUUAGAAGAUGAAUUGAAUCUGGUUUUAAGGUAUGAUUUUGAAGUUUCUUGGUUAUAUUCAAGUGAAACUGUUCUAGUUGACUGGUUGAGCUUUGUUUCUAGGUUUUACAAUUGAUUCACUUGAUUAUUUUCGCCGUUGAUUCCUACUGCUGCUGAUGUUCUUUUCUCUCACUACCUCCUUAUUUUUCCUGUUAAUUUUCAGGUACUUCUUAGACCUAUAAAUGUAUGGUAUGUGAGGUUGAGGCCUUGAAAUCAUUUGGGAGCUCAAGAUUGAUGUUAAAUAGUAUUUUGUGUAUUCCCUAAAGAAUGUUAGUAUCAAUUUAUAUAUGGCCGCGGUUUGCUCUUUAUGUAUGUUAUGGAGGAGUACAUGAAGUCAUGUGUAUUUUCGUUUUUGGAGGGACUUUGCAAGUCAUGUACCAAUUACCCUUUUGGUCUGUUUGCAUUUAGUCUAAGAAAAUAAUCCAUCCUUAAUAUAAACAUAUUCCUUCAUGUGAUUAAAUUUUGUUGCUU